UACGUAGGGGGCAAGCGUUGUUCGGAAUUACUGGGCGUAAAGGGCGCGUAGGCGGCACGGCAAGUCGGGAGUGAAAGCCCGGGGCUCAACCCCGGAACUGCUUUCGAAACUGCCGAGCUAGAGUGCGGAAGAGGCAACUGGAAUUCCCAGUGUAGCGGUGAAAUGCGUAGAUAUUGGGAAGAACACCUGAGGCGAAGGCGGGUUGCUGGGCCGACACUGACGCUGAGGCGCGAAAGCCAGGGGAGCGAACGGG
Molecule: ribosomal RNA, 253 nt
Filed under: uncultured bacterium
Lineage: Bacteria
Description: partial 16S ribosomal RNA
Rfam family: Bacterial small subunit ribosomal RNA
Source: RNAcentral